AUUGAACGCUGGCGGCAUGCCUUACACAUGCAAGUCGAACGGCAGCUCGGGAGCAAUCCUGGUGGCGAGUGGCGAACGGGUGAGUAAUAUAUCGGAACGUGCCCAGUCGUGGGGAUAACGUAGCGAAAGCUACGCUAAUACCGCAUACGAUCUAUGGAUGAAAGCGGGGGAUCGCAAGACCUCGCGCGAUUGGAGCGGCCGAUAUCAGAUUAGGUAGUUGGUGAGGUAAAGGCUCACCAAGCCGACGAUCUGUAGCUGGUCUGAGAGGACGACCAGCCACACUGGGACUGAGACACGGCCCAGACUCCUACGGGAGGCAGCAGUGGGGAAUUUUGGACAAUGGGCGCAAGCCUGAUCCAGCAAUGCCGCGUGCAGGAUGAAGGCCUUCGGUUGUAAACUGCUUUUGUACGGUAACGAAACGGUAGAGCUCUAAUACAGUUUGCUAAUGACGGUACCGUAAGAA
RNAcentral lists this ribosomal RNA (463 nucleotides) under uncultured bacterium. RNAcentral describes it as "bacterial SSU rRNA". It matches the Rfam family "Bacterial small subunit ribosomal RNA", at positions 30 to 486 of the family's 1533-position model. The record is from RNAcentral.